RNAcentral lists this unclassified non-coding RNA (341 nucleotides) under soil metagenome. RNAcentral's name for it is "partial contains 5.8S ribosomal RNA, internal transcribed spacer 2, and large subunit ribosomal RNA". The stretch from base 1 to 121 matches the Rfam family "5.8S ribosomal RNA", at positions 35 to 154 of the family's 154-position model. The record is from RNAcentral.
GAUGAAGAACGCAGCGAAUUGCGAUAAGUAAUGUGAAUUGCAGAUUUUCAGUGAAUCAUCGAAUCUUUGAACGCACCUUGCGCUCCUUGGUAUUCUGAGGAGCAUGCCUGUCCGAGCGUCAUUUCAACCCUCAAGCACUGCUUGGCGUUGGCGGAUUGCGUGCCCUCGCGGCGCUGCAACCGCCCAAAUACAGUGGCGGUCCCGCUGCGGCUCCCUUUGCGUAGUAACUCACCUCGCACUGGACCGGGCGGCGGCCUGCCGUAAAACCCCAACUCACGAAAUGUUGACCUCGGAUCAGGUAGGAAUACCCGCUGAACUUAAGCAUAUCAAUAAGCGGAGGA